Molecule: ribosomal RNA, 1890 nt
Filed under: Triticum aestivum (bread wheat)
Lineage: Eukaryota; Viridiplantae; Streptophyta; Magnoliopsida; Poales; Poaceae
Description: partial small subunit ribosomal RNA
Source: RNAcentral
AUGAUGGUGGCCGGAGUGAAGCGGGUUGGAAGAGUUGCGGAAGAAGUGUUCAGAGCGGCGCAUGGGUGGCAUUUGGGAACAAGAAGAAUCACGGCGGGCUUGAGCUGCAAGUGCGUGUCUAAGAAGAGGAGAGAGAAUAUGGUUCGACAGAGGCUAGCAGGGGGGCGCUACGACGCCGGUGCUGCGGCCAGCAGCGAUGCGAGGGAGAGGAGCUCCUGCCACCCUCGCUGGGAGAGCCCGCACGUGAUGGCCAGGGGGGAAGCGCGCCUCGCGCAGCGAUUAAUUGACGACUCGGAUUUGAAGGGAUAUAUGGACGUUUCGUAUAGGCAGAAACCUGACCAGCUAGAUGUGCCAAUUGUCGUGACCCUGAUCAAAACAGACCGCGCAUGCGUCAUCCAAUCCAUCGGCGGCGGUGAAAACCGUCGCUCGGCCAAUGCCUCGACCACCUCCCCUCCUCGGAGUGGGUGGUGGCUCGGGAAUCCCCCGAACCAUCGAGUCUUUGAACACAAGUUGCGCCCGAGGCCACUCGGCCGAGGGCAUAAUUGUAACGGCGGGGCCCAUGGUCAGCGAACCAUACCGGACGGGAGUCGAACCAGCCGAGGCGGGACUGAGCCAGGAGGAGUAGUCGAGUCGUGUGAGGUCCAGCUCGUCGAUCUGGAGACCGCCUACCCCAAGCCAUGUUACCAUACAAAGCAAACGCGGCAAGCGGCAGCGAUGGAGGAACAAAUCGCGGCCCUCGCCAAGGCCGUCCACGACGGAUGGCUGGCCAACGAGGCUCGCCUCGACGCGAUCCAGCAGUCGUCGGAGCUGUGGAGGCCUGUUGUCACUCAUCUUCAACAACAAGUCGACGAGCUGCGCACGCAAGUGGGGCGCAUCACGCUACAUCCGAUCCUGGCGGCGCCACCGAAUCCAAUCCCGGAGGGCGACGCGGUGGUGCAACCGGCCUCGGCAUCCGACACCGGCGAGCACCACGGGCCGUUAGGCCACGGCGAGAUCGACACCACUGGGGGCAUGGCACACGGGGUGGUCACCACCCAGUUGCUGCCCCCGGUCAAGGGUAAGUCCUUAGCUGAUCCCCAUGCUCUAGUUGCUGUUCGUGCAUCUGAUUCGCCCAUACCGCAUCAGAUCGGCCCGCCCAUGCCACAUUUCCCCAACUGGUCGUUGCCUAAACUUGAUUUUCCGCCAGAUCUGUGGGUUUGCGUCGCUACCUUACACUUCACGGGUAGUGCGGCGCGCUGGCUGCAACUUCAGGAGUCUAGGAGUGGAUCGAUGCACUGGGAUGAACUCUAUACAGCCUUAGGCACGAAAUUUGGGAGAGAGCAGUAUCAGCCAAAGGACUUGGACUCCGCUUUCUCGCUGGCUUCUUUGCAGGAGGAGGUGCUGGAAGCAAUUCCCCGUCGAGAUCAUCGGCGGCAAGAGGGCGGGGGGCCGCGCAUACCACCUCGUCCCAUCAGGGUCGUCGGCGCGCCGCAGCCACGCCAGCAACCACCAGGCGUGCCGGUGGCCGCAGAGGAUCGCCGGGGCCAGGAAGUAGCAAAUACCCCCGAGCGGCUCAAGCAAGCAGUUGGAGUGGAUGUGCCAAUCGCAGGUUCGCUCCCUCCUGACAAUGCCACUUUGCAAGCCUUGCAUAUUCCUUGCAGUAUCCUCGACGAUCAGUACGGCGACGCGUCAAGUACCACCAGGCGCGUGCGGGUGCUCUGGGACAAUCUACCAGCAUCCAUGGCCACUUGGGAAGAUCCGGAUGAGCUCCGUCGCCGUUUUCCAGCAGCACCGGCUUGGGGGCAAGCCGGCUCACAAGGAGGGGAGAAUGUAACAGCGGGGCCCAUGGUCAGCGAACCAGACUGGACGGGAGUCGAACUAGCCGAGGCGGGACCGAGCCAGGAGGAGUAG